GAAAAUGGUCUUAUACAGAAGCAGCGAACACCUCGCCGAAGAUGUCAGCAGCCCAAAAUGUUGAGUAGCCCUGAGGACACCAUGUACUAUAACCAGUUAAAUGGAACUCUAGAAUAUCAAGGGAGCAAGAGGAAGCCAAGAAAACUUGGCCAAAUCAAAGUGCUUGAUGGGGAAGAUGAAUAUUACAAAUCCUUGUCACCUGUGGACUCUAUUCCCGAGGAAGACAACCCAUCCUGCCCUUUCUUUUCUUCCUCAUCCUCAAAAGGAACAUCUUUUGCUCAGUACUGAAGUGUACUUCCUGCCCCCCAAGUCUGUUGAGGAUACUAUCUCUGCGAGAAUACCUGACAUGAAGAAAACCAACAAGCUGAAAAAUACUGUCAAGACAAAAUAACUGACCUUGGACAAAAUAGAAGUCAUUCCGGGAAUAGAACAGUUUUUAAAAGCUUCACUGGAAACCAUUGGUGUUCAUGUUGUGAGCUGCUGGCUUUUCUUCCAUUUUGGUUCAUCUGCAGACAUGCCUCCAUCCACUUUAACUUUCUUUAUUUUUAAAUGUCAUGCAAAUACAGAAAAGGGCACAAAUCAGAGGACUCAACUCAUUAAGUUAUCAGAAAGUGAAUGUCUAUAUAACUGCCCCUACAGUCAAGUUAUCUAUGUAACCACUCCUACAGUCUGAUAUGUUAUUAGAAAGUGAGUAUAUAUAAACCUUCUGUGGGUCAAGUGGAACGUUGUCAGCACACUAGAAGUCCCCCUCUUGUCCAUUCCCAAUCACCCACCUCUCCAAAGACAAGCACUCUCAUGACUCUUGUGGUAAAUACUUCCUUGGUUUUCUUUAUAAUUUUACCACUUACAAACAUCCCUAAACACUAUAGUUAAAUUUUGCCUCUUAUAGUUAGGUUCUGGGAACUUUAUAUAAAUGGAAUCAUGUAGCAUGUAAUCUUUUGGGUUUUGUUUCUUUUAUUUGGUGUUAUAUUUGUGAGAUUAAUCUAUGUUGUAGAAUGUAAACAUAGCUCAUUCAUUUUCAAAACUAUGUAACAUUCCAGUAUAUGAAUAUGGCGUAAUUGACGUAGCCAUUCUGCUUUUGAUAGACAAAUAUGAAUUAUUUCCAGUUUGGGGCUAUUCUGGACAUUGCUACUGUGAACAUUGUUGUGUGUCUCUUGGUGUCUAUUUGCAUGCAUUUCUGUUGGCUAUAUACGUAGGAUUAGGAUGGCAGAGUUCUAAGGUACCCAUAUCUGCACUUCAGUAGGUAAUACCAAACUGUUUUCCUAAGUGAUUUUACCAAUUUACAGUCACACCUGUGACAUAAAAGAGCUUCCAUUGUUCUGUAUUCUCUCCAAUUCUUGUUAUUAUCGGUCUCCUUCAUGUGGGCACUCUGAUGGGUAUAUAUUAGAAUCUCACUGUUGAUUGAUAGCUUACAUAUCUCUGAUUAAUAAUGAUAUUGAGCACAUUUUCAUACUUUAGUGGCCUAAAAUUUUAGAUACCUUCUUUUGUGAUAUGCCCAUUUUUAUUUGGGUUAACUACAUAUUU
This is a non-coding RNA of Leptonychotes weddellii (Weddell seal), 1524 nucleotides long. NCBI's taxonomy places the organism in Eukaryota, Metazoa, Chordata, Mammalia, Carnivora, Phocidae. The record is from RefSeq and is a predicted model, not a curated record.